Non-coding RNA from Paramuricea clavata, 529 nucleotides. Lineage: Eukaryota; Metazoa; Cnidaria; Anthozoa; Malacalcyonacea; Plexauridae. The record is from the annotation of a GenBank genome assembly.
CCGAUUUUCAGAAAUGCUUUGGAUAUUUUGACGUUAAAAUUCACAGGUAAAAUAAAGCCACAUUUCUUAUUUUUGCCAUAGUUUUUGUGUACGAUAUUUAACUAUAGAUCUCUUUUUAUUUUUAUAGCAUUAAAGCGUUAUUAGAGGAAAAGAACGCGCGAAAAUAUAUCACACAUAACUUGUUUACAUCACCAUUAGCAACGGCUGAAAAUACGCGACCAAGUUGGAUUUCAAUUGAAUUUUGUUUGUAAUGUGUUGCUAUAAUAAGGAAAAAGGAGUAGAAUAACUCAUUGACACGCUGAAGUCAAGAUCUAAGAGUUUUUAACGGGAUUUCUGGCAAUUUUGUAUGCAUACUUCACAUGUGAGUUAAUUUGAUAGUGUCCUUGGAAGGUGGAACUAUUAUAUUAUUGAGCUUCUCCAUAUAAAGCUUUUUAAGGUUUGGUUUGACUAUAGUUACGUUUAAUCAACGGAUGACAGUAUAUUAAUGGCAAUGGGCUUUUGUUCGUGAUGACAUAAACUUGAAACUUCA